GAGCCAAAUUUUACACAGAGCAGAAGCCAAAAGCUAGUGCUAACUCAGGGUGAAUAGGAAAGACUGGAAAAGACCAAGGUGUGUGUUUACAUGCUUUCAAAGCUGCACCCUCCUAAGAAUGGAAUGAUUUUGCUGAGAGUUCACAACAUCUUGAAUAAGCAUUGAUAACACAGUUUAUCAUGAUCAUCUCCCCAUAUCUGCUUGUCAGUUGACACAUGAUAUAUUUUUACUGAGUGACGAUUGGGAGGGAAAAAAAUGCCUGAACCUAAGCUGUAGGAUUUGCGAGAACAAAGGACCUGGAGAAAGUAUUGGCUGUGACAGGAGACCCACACUCAGUGAGGCUUGUUCCUGCUGAGUGCACAAUUCCAACUUGGUAAUUUCUCUUCUUGGCAUCAGAUGAUGCUGGCUACACUUCAGGAACACAUCAAAGAAUGAAAUCUUUCCAUUCUGAUGAAUAACCUGGUGUAUGAAAUCAGCCCGACUGCAACUGAGAUGCUUAGGGAAACAAAAGGUCAUCAGGAAAUCCCAUUUCUCCACCUAAUGGAGCAGAGCUGUGGUCACUGCUGGGAGUGUUUCUGCCUUUUGAUUCCUUGCCAACUGGAGUGAACGUGGCAUGUGGCCUGAUAUAGUUUUAUUCAGAAAAGCACUGCCAAUUAGAUGGUAAAAGCCUGCAAUUUUCUGAAUGUUUAUAAUCUAAGUGGGUGUGCUUAGGAUGCAGUCCAGUGGGCAGCUUAAUAUUCCACUUGAAAAUGCACCGACGAAGGGCAAAGGUGCACAAUCUGGUUGUUUUUCUCUAAAACAGAAUAAUUUUUCAAAUGCCUAACGUUUAUGUCCUAUUUCAUGAUUGUGAAGGGCAAUUCAGAAUGUCUGACCUUUAAAACAAGGAGUUAGUGUUUGCCAUCAUGACAGUACUCGGGGGAGAAAUACUGGUGGACUAAAUUCGUAAGAAUGUUCCCAUGAUUUUUGGAUGUACUUAUGCCUAAUGGAGGCUAUUAGCAUCUUGAAAGUAAAUGUCCUGUGGUUUGGUUUGAGAUAUGCCAUGAACUCUACCCUUGAUUCUAUCAUUCAUCUACUUACACAUAAAACACACACACACACGCACACACACACACACACACACAC
This 1122-nucleotide long non-coding RNA is filed under the name Homo sapiens (human). RNAcentral's name for it is "HSALNT0072194". The record is from RNAcentral. Lineage: Eukaryota; Metazoa; Chordata; Mammalia; Primates; Hominidae.